Molecule: ribosomal RNA, 1372 nt
Filed under: uncultured bacterium
Lineage: Bacteria
Description: bacterial SSU rRNA
Rfam family: Bacterial small subunit ribosomal RNA
Source: RNAcentral
GAUAAACGCUGGCGGCGUGCCUAAUACAUGCAAGUCGAGCGAACGGACGAGAAGCUUGCUUCUCUGAUGUUAGCGGCGGACGGGUGAGUAACACGUGGAUAACCUACCUAUAAGACUGGGAUAACUUCGGGAAACCGGAGCUAAUACCGGAUAAUAUUUUGAACCGCAUGGUUCAAAAGUGAAAGACGGUCUUGCUGUCACUUAUAGAUGGAUCCGCGCUGCAUUAGCUAGUUGGUAAGGUAACGGCUUACCAAGGCAACGAUGCAUAGCCGACCUGAGAGGGUGAUCGGCCACACUGGAACUGAGACACGGUCCAGACUCCUACGGGAGGCAGCAGUAGGGAAUCUUCCGCAAUGGGCGAAAGCCUGACGGAGCAACGCCGCGUGAGUGAUGAAGGUCUUCGGAUCGUAAAACUCUGUUAUUGGGGAAGAACAUAUGUGUAAGUAACUGUGCACAUCUUGACGGUACCUAAUCAGAAAGCCACGGCUAACUACGUGCCAGCAGCCGCGGUAAUACGUAGGUGGCAAGCGUUAUCCGGAAUUAUUGGGCGUAAAGCGCGCGUAGGCGGUUUUUUAAGUCUGAUGUGAAAGCCCACGGCUCAACCGUGGAGGGUCAUUGGAAACUGGAAAACUUGAGUGCAGAAGAGGAAAGUGGAAUUCCAUGUGUAGCGGUGAAAUGCGCAGAGAUAUGGAGGAACACCAGUGGCGAAGGCGACUUUCUGGUCUGUAACUGACGCUGAUGUGCGAAAGCGUGGGGAUCAAACAGGAUUAGAUACCCUGGUAGUCCACGCCGUAAACGAUGAGUGCUAAGUGUUAGGGGGUUUCCGCCCCUUAGUGCUGCAGCUAACGCAUUAAGCACUCCGCCUGGGGAGUACGACCGCAAGGUUGAAACUCAAAGGAAUUGACGGGGACCCGCACAAGCGGUGGAGCAUGUGGUUUAAUUCGAAGCAACGCGAAGAACCUUACCAAAUCUUGACAUCCUUUGACAACUCUAGAGAUAGAGCCUUCCCCUUCGGGGGACAAAGUGACAGGUGGUGCAUGGUUGUCGUCAGCUCGUGUCGUGAGAUGUUGGGUUAAGUCCCGCAACGAGCGCAACCCUUAAGCUUAGUUGCCAUCAUUAAGUUGGGCACUCUAAGUUGACUGCCGGUGACAAACCGGAGGAAGGUGGGGAUGACGUCAAAUCAUCAUGCCCCUUAUGAUUUGGGCUACACACGUGCUACAAUGGACAAUACAAAGGGCAGCGAAACCGCGAGGUCAAGCAAAUCCCAUAAAGUUGUUCUCAGUUCGGAUUGUAGUCUGCAACUCGACUACAUGAAGCUGGAAUCGCUAGUAAUCGUAGAUCAGCAUGCUACGGUGAAUACGUUUCCGGGUCU